Molecule: unclassified non-coding RNA, 205 nt
Filed under: soil metagenome
Description: partial contains 5.8S ribosomal RNA, internal transcribed spacer 2, and large subunit ribosomal RNA
Source: RNAcentral
AACACUGUUAACCUGCGGUACCUGCGGAGGGAUCAUUACCGAGUUUACAACUCCCAAACCCCUGUGAACAUACCAAUUGUUGCCUCGGCGGAUCAGCCCGCUCCCGGUAAAACGGGACGGCCCGCCAGAGGACCCCUAAACUCUGUUUCUAUAUGUAACUUCUGAGUAAAACCAUAAAUAAAUCAAAACUUUUAACAACGGAUCU